This 404-nucleotide unclassified non-coding RNA is filed under the name Hevea brasiliensis (rubber tree). The record is from RNAcentral. Lineage: Eukaryota; Viridiplantae; Streptophyta; Magnoliopsida; Malpighiales; Euphorbiaceae.
GUUUUUGUAUCUGAUACAUGGCUUCAGAGUCAGUUCACUCAGGUUGAGCUUCGGCGAUUGAAAUCUCACUUUAAUGCGAUGAAAAGAGAAAAUGGAGAUCUGAUGCUCGCAGACUUACCAUCUAAAAUGGCCAGGAUAAAGCACGUCGGUGAGAAUCUUACAGAACAAGAAAGAGAGUCGUUUCUAAGAGAUUCCUACAAAAGCUUGGAAGAAGAUGUUGAUUUCGAACUAUUUCUUCAGGUUUAUUUGAAAAUCCAAGCACAUGCUGCUGCAAGGAUGGGAAAUACUGCAAAGAGUUCAUCAGCUUUUGUCAAGUCAGCAACUUCUACAUUGCUCCACACAAUUAGUGAAUCUGAAAAGGCAUCAUAUGUUGCACACAUUAACAGCUAUCUUGCGGAUGAUGA